RNAcentral lists this ribosomal RNA (608 nucleotides) under Escherichia coli. RNAcentral describes it as "partial 23S ribosomal RNA". It matches the Rfam family "Bacterial large subunit ribosomal RNA", at positions 1 to 637 of the family's 2925-position model. Lineage: Bacteria; Pseudomonadati; Pseudomonadota; Gammaproteobacteria; Enterobacterales; Enterobacteriaceae. The record is from RNAcentral.
GGGUUGUGAGGUUAAGCGACUAAGCGUACACGGUGGAUGCCCUGGCAGUCAGAGGCGAUGAAGGACGUGCUAAUCUGCGAUAAGCGUCGGUAAGGUGAUAUGAACCGUUAUAACCGGCGAUUUCCGAAUGGGGAAACCCAGUGUGUUUCGACACACUAUCAUUAACUGAAUCCAUAGGUUAAUGAGGCGAACCGGGGGAACUGAAACAUCUAAGUACCCCGAGGAAAAGAAAUCAACCGAGAUUCCCCCAGUAGCGGCGAGCGAACGGGGAGCAGCCCAGAGCCUGAAUCAGUGUGUGUGUUAGUGGAAGCGUCUGGAAAGGCGCGCGAUACAGGGUGACAGCCCCGUACACAAAAAUGCACAUGCUGUGAGCUCGAUGAGUAGGGCGGGACACGUGGUAUCCUGUCUGAAUAUGGGGGGACCAUCCUCCAAGGCUAAAUACUCCUGACUGACCGAUAGUGAACCAGUACCGUGAGGGAAAGGCGAAAAGAACCCCGGCGAGGGGAGUGAAAAAGAACCUGAAACCGUGUACGUACAAGCAGUGGGAGCACAGAGCAAUCUGUGUGACUGCGUACCUUUUGUAUAAUGGGUCAGCGACUUAUAUUCUG